RNAcentral lists this ribosomal RNA (430 nucleotides) under Pseudomonadota bacterium. Its description in RNAcentral is "Proteobacteria bacterium partial 16S ribosomal RNA". It matches the Rfam family "Bacterial small subunit ribosomal RNA", at positions 355 to 776 of the family's 1533-position model. Lineage: Bacteria; Pseudomonadati; Pseudomonadota. The record is from RNAcentral.
UGGGGUAUAUUGGACAAUGGGGGGAACCCUGAUCCAGCCAUGCCGCGUGUGUGAAGAAGGCCUUAUGGUUGUAAAGCACUUUAAGCGAGGAGGAGGGUACUGGUAUUAAUACUACCAGCUACUGGACGUUACUCGCAGAAUAAGCACCGGCUAACUCUGUGCCAGCAGCCGCGGUAAUACAGAGGGUGCGAGCGUUAAUCGGAUUUACUGGGCGUAAAGCGUGCGUAGGCGGCUAAUUGAGUCGGAUGUGAAAUCCCCGAGCUUAACUUGGGAAUUGCAUUCGAUACUGGUUAGCUAGAGUGUGGGAGAGGAUGGUAGAAUUCCAGGUGUAGCGGUGAAAUGCGUAGAGAUCUGGAGGAAUACCGAUGGCGAAGGCAGCCAUCUGGCCUAACACUGACGCUGAGGUACGAAAGCAUGGGGAGCAAACAGG